UUCUUCAAGAACACAAGCCUAGACCAUUACAUAUUUGGUACCUUAAACUAAACCCCAAACAAAUGUAUCUCUCUAUUUAUAGUAACUU
This 88-nucleotide small RNA is filed under the name Arabidopsis thaliana (thale cress). RNAcentral's name for it is "ATSL190130". The record is from RNAcentral. Lineage: Eukaryota; Viridiplantae; Streptophyta; Magnoliopsida; Brassicales; Brassicaceae.